This 499-nucleotide ribosomal RNA is filed under the name uncultured bacterium. RNAcentral's name for it is "partial 16S ribosomal RNA". It matches the Rfam family "Bacterial small subunit ribosomal RNA", at positions 28 to 523 of the family's 1533-position model. The record is from RNAcentral.
GAUGAACGCUAGCGGCAGGCCUAAUACAUGCAAGUCGAGGGGCAGCAGGAAUAGCAAUAUUUGCUGGCGACCGGCGCACGGGUGCGUAACACGUAUACAAUCUGCCUUUAACAGGGGGAUAGCCCGGAGAAAUCCGGAUUAAUACCCCAUAACAGUGAUCUUGGCAUCAAGGACACUUAAAAGCUCCGGCGGUUAAAGAUGAGUAUGCGUCUGAUUAGCUAGUUGGUGAGGCAACGGCUCACCAAGGCGACGAUCAGUAGGGGAUCUGAGAGGAUUAACCCCCACACGGAUACUGAGACACGGAUCCGACUCCUACGGGAGGCAGCAGUAAGGAAUAUUGGACAAUGCCCGCAAGGGUGAUCCAGCCAUGCCGCGUGCAGGAAGACGGCCCUAUGGGUUGUAAACUGCUUUUACACCGGAGAAAACCCCACUACGUGUAGUGGGCUGAUAGUAUGGUGAGAAUAAGCAUCGGCUAACUUCGUGCCAGCCGCCGCCGUAA